Molecule: ribosomal RNA, 429 nt
Filed under: Pseudomonadota bacterium
Lineage: Bacteria; Pseudomonadati; Pseudomonadota
Description: Proteobacteria bacterium partial 16S ribosomal RNA
Rfam family: Bacterial small subunit ribosomal RNA
Source: RNAcentral
UGGGGAAUAUUGGACAAUGGGCGAAAGCCUGAUCCAGCCAUGCCGCGUGUGUGAAGAAGGUCUUCGGAUUGUAAAGCACUUUAAGUUGGGAGGAAGGGCAGUAAGCGAAUACCUUGCUGUUUUGACGUUACCGACAGAAUAAGCACCGGCUAACUCUGUGCCAGCAGCCGCGGUAAUACAGAGGGUGCAAGCGUUAAUCGGAAUUACUGGGCGUAAAGCGCGCGUAGGUGGUUCGUUAAGUUGAAUGUGAAAGCCCCGGGCUCAACCUGGGAACUGCAUCCAAAACUGGCGAGCUAGAGUAGGGCAGAGGGUGGUGGAAUUUCCUGUGUAGCGGUGAGAUGCGUAGAUAUAGGAAGGAGCACCAGUGGCGAAGGCGACCACCUGGGCUCAUACUGACACUGAGGUGCGAAAGCGUGGGGAGCAAACAGG